AUUGAACGCUGGCGGCAGGCCUAACACAUGCAAGUCGAGCGGAUGAAGGGAGCUUGCUCCUGGAUUCAGCGGCGGACGGGUGAGUAAUGCCUAGGAAUCUGCCUGGUAGUGGGGGAUAACGUCCGGAAACGGGCGCUAAUACCGCAUACGUCCUGAGGGAGAAAGUGGGGGAUCUUCGGACCUCACGCUAUCAGAUGAGCCUAGGUCGGAUUAGCUAGUUGGUGGGGUAAAGGCCUACCAAGGCGACGAUCCGUAACUGGUCUGAGAGGAUGAUCAGUCACACUGGAACUGAGACACGGUCCAGACUCCUACGGGAGGCAGCAGUGGGGAAUAUUGGACAAUGGGCGAAAGCCUGAUCCAGCCAUGCCGCGUGUGUGAAGAAGGUCUUCGGAUUGUAAAGCACUGUAAGUUGGGAAGAAGGGAAGUAAGUUAAUACCUUGCUGUUUUGACGUUACCAACAGAAUAAGCACCGGCUAACUUCGUG
RNAcentral lists this ribosomal RNA (484 nucleotides) under uncultured bacterium. Its description in RNAcentral is "partial 16S ribosomal RNA". It matches the Rfam family "Bacterial small subunit ribosomal RNA", at positions 30 to 507 of the family's 1533-position model. The record is from RNAcentral.